Molecule: long non-coding RNA, 851 nt
Organism: Triticum dicoccoides
Lineage: Eukaryota; Viridiplantae; Streptophyta; Magnoliopsida; Poales; Poaceae
Exons: 2
Source: RefSeq, a predicted model, not a curated record
UGAUCUAACGAUCUGCACGGUAAGGCCAGGUCUCUCGCUAACUACUGAUCCUGAUGAGGUGCUAACGGAGACGAAGACCGUCUACCACCGCCGGCCACCUCCAGGGCAGUGCCGGCGGCACCCUGCACGUCCAUCUCCCUGCUGCUGCUUCUUCCCCAAUAAGCUCCACACUGCAGGAGGCUCACGGGGGAGCCCCCUCAGUGCUGGCGGCGCUGCUGCUCAUCACGUAAUCCUGGUGCUGUCCUUCCCCGGCCAUGGAGGACCCAAGGUGCAGCCAUGGACUACUGGUAGUUUUACAAUGAUUCUGGUUUUGUCAAAUAGAUGAAGUUAACAUAAGGUAUGUUGCCUCAAGAAAUUCAAUUAUGAAAUAAGGCGAGCGUUGGGACAAGGGGGAGUAAGUUCACUAAAUGUGAAGAUGGAAUAUUUUUUGGCGAGCCAAGAAUUUGUAUCUUCCAUUGACAUAAAGGAUCUUGGUGAUGCCUUAUACUUUAUUUGUAUCGAGGUUCAUCAAGAUAUAGGUCCAAAAGGAGUAUAAGUUCUCUUAUGACGACAUACGUCAAUAGAGUACGAAAGAAAAUAUUAUGUGGCAGUACUCUAUCUCACCUGCUACUCAAGUUAAGGGCAAUAAAAGUGGACAUCUCAGUGUCCAAGGAACAUUUAUGAACUGAUCAGAUAAUGUUAGUUCCUUAUGCUUCGGUUGUCAGAAGCAAUAUAUGUAUUCAAGUAUGAAGGCGCGCCCUCUUAUUUAUGAUCGGGUAACUUGGCAAAUUGUGUUUAAUCUAGAAUUGGACCGCUGGAAAUUUGUUAUCAAGCUUUGCAGUAUAUACAAGGCGAUGACUAUUACAUGCUCA